UGUAGUCUAAAGAAUUGGCUACCGAAAAACCAAUAAUUCAAUUGAUCCGACUCCAUUAAAACUGGAGUGUGGAAUUAAGUGUGAAAUCCUGGUAUAUUUCAUAGAAACAUUGCUGUUGGAUAUGUGACAAAACAACAGUAUGGCGAUACUUGAAGAUAACAAUCUACAAAAGUUGCUCGAGUUUGACACAAACUUGACGAAUGUAAUGGAACUGUACGUAGCCUGUGAGAAUUCAACAACAAUGGUACAUGCUUCGCCACGUCAAACCACGAAGGAUCUAAAUCUCAACGAUUUUGUUCGAUAGUUCUCCAUUCGUUGUUACAAUAUGAGCCAAGGGAAGUUCAUGAGGCGGAGUAAUAGCUGCUCAGCUAUCGUGCCUCGUGAACCGUCAUGGUUAAAAUUAGAAUACGAGGGAGGCCGUCAUUUGAUGUCAGAUAGAGCAUCAACGAGACACACCUUGGAAAGAUGUCGGUCUGCUCGUCUGAUCGAUGUCAGUUCUCACUCAGUAUCACAAAUACGUCAUCUCGCGGACACUUUACGCCGACUGGAUAUUAGUAAUAGAUCACUACGCGUCAUCAGCAAAGAUUUGAUUAAAGAGUUUAUCCAUCUUGAAAAGUUGGACCUGGACAAAAAUAACCUUACCGAUAGCAGUUUUCCAGAUGAAUUUGAAAGACUAGAAAAGCUAGUGGAGUUAAACUUGGAGAACAACAAAAUGCGACAUUUGCCAAAUGUACUGUUGAAAUUGCGCCAACUGACAAGGCUUAAUGUUGGCAGUAACAGACUAGAAGACAUGCAGGGUAUCGAUAAGUUCAGGCGUUUGAUAUCACUUGUCAUAGAAAACAAUAAACUUGAAAAUUCAACCCUCAAAGAAAUAUUCUCCUCUUUGAGAAGACUAGAAACAAUAUACGCAGGUAGCAACAAUUUUACCGACGUGCCAAUUGAUAUAAAAUAUUUGAAAUUUCUUCAAGUUUUGGAUGUGUCUAAGAAUGCUUUAACUGCAUUGCCAAAUGAAGUCUUCAAGUUGCAGCAUUUAGAUGUGCUUAACGCGAGUGGGAAUAAGAUUACUAGGAUCCCGACCAUCAAUAUCAAGACGCGUGCAAAAAGAACGAUAAUGUGCGUUGAUCUAUCUGAUAACGAGAUUGUGAGAUUUCCUGAGCAUCUUCUUUACAUGUCCGACAAACUUGAUCUCACAGGGAACAAAAUAAAAGUGGUUAAUGGAAAUGUUAUCAGGAAGAUGAAACUAGACGAUGGGCAAUCUUUGAAACUAGAAGGUAAUCCCCUCAAUUUCCCUCCUAAGGAAAUCUGUGAAUCUGGUCUAAGGUCAAUGAUGGAGUAUUUCAUCGAGAAGCAAUGCAUGAGUAAAGUCUACAGAGGUCUCAAAGUGCUCGUCUUGGGGGCGUAUAAUUCAGGGAAAACAAGCAUGGUACAAACAAUUGUUGAUGAACAGCCUCGGUUAGUUCGGGAACAGGAACGAACAAUUUCAUGUGACAUAUACGAAGCAAGUAUUACAUUGACCAGUGAAGAUGCACCAACCAAGGAACUCGAUAUUUCCUUAUGGGAUGUAUCUGGCCAUCCGUCAUAUACGUUUACGUCGUAUCUCUUCCUCCACAGAGAGUCACUGAUCUUGAUAGUGUUUAACAUGGAGGAAUAUGAUUCAACAAAGUUUCAUGAAAUGAUAGGACGCUGGAUCGAUUGGGUUUUAGCAAAGAACAACACGAUUACUGCGAUUCCAGUUGGAACCCAUUCUGAUUUGAUUAGUGAAGACAAAGUUAAGAAGAUCUGCGCUGAAGUGACUGGGCGAAUAUCUCAAUAUCUAACUAACUAUACGAAGUCCAUUCAGAAAGAGGUGAAGAAGAUCGAGUCUCGAAGUAAUAUACCGCCAUCUUUAUCUGAACAGUUGAAAUUGUACAUGAAUCUCCUUCGUGCCAAAACUAAAAUCUAUGAAUCCACCAUUGCCAUAAGUUCAUCAAAUAUGGAUGGUUUUGACAAUAUGUGUAGAGCUAUUGAGCAAAUGGCUAUAAAGGAACAUUUUCCGAAUAUUCUGAAAGUGGUGCCGUCAUUAUGGGUCGAGGUGGCUAAUUACAUCGAGGAGAAGGGAUACGCCAUGCAAGUUGCCUACAUGAAGUGGGACGAAUAUGUUGAGGAAUGCAGUGAAAAGUUCGGAAUGAGACACCUAAUGCCAAAUAUCACACAAUACUUACACGAUAGUGGCAAGGUGCUGUGGUUUAGAGAUAACCCAAACCUACAGGAGUAUGUCUUCCUCAGACCUUCCUGGUUGAUCGAUGUUAUAAAACAAUUUAUACGACACAAUGUUGACGAAUACAUUGAUUACAAAAACGAUGAUAUGUUCAGAUUCGCACUGAACGAACUGAAGUUCAAUCAAGUAAAACGAGACUUGAUAGAACAAGGCGUGGUUGAACGCGAUCUCCUUAAAUGCCUAUGGGCUGGACUAGUGAACACAGAAUCUAGCCAGGCUGUCCAAACAAUUUUGUCUCUACUGGUGGAGAAUUUUGAACUUGCAUACCCGGUUGAAAAUGCUAGGAUAAAAUCAGCAGCAGCAAGAUCAGUAAAAAGUGACGUCACUGAUCUUGAUGAAAAAGAAGUUUUUGGAUAUGGCAAAGUGAGAAUGGUGAAACUUGCUAUCCCUUGGUGCAUUCAUGACUCUGAACCAGAGAAGUUCGUGCAAAUCUGGGCGAACCUUAGCUACAGACCGGGACUUGUGUCGGUCUACAAGUUCCCACGUUAUAUCCCACCAGGCUUGUUCGAGCAAAUCACUGUUCGAGCAAACUUUCCGAAACACAAUCUACAAUUUCAAUUCCAUUGGAAAGAAGGCGUCGUUGCAAAGGCGACGGCAAACGGGAAGCCUGUAUUCGUAGUCAUGCGUAGACUUCGUGACAGAGAUGGCGGAACCCAACUACGUAUAGAUGUGAGGUUUGCCAACGCAGAGGAAGAAAUAGAAGUUCAGCAACUGUGGACAGUAAUGUUACCUUUACUAAAGGAUUGCGAAGAUGUGAUUUCAAGGUUUACAGGAAUUUGGUUAGUCAGAUAUGCGGAGUGCCCAGUAUGUCGAGACCUGUCAUUUUUAGGAGAAUGGCUCACACCCAAAGAACUACAGAACAUUCCUAAGAAGAUAUGCGAAUGUUGUAAGAAGAUGGUUAACACUGACUACCUGGUCCAGCCAAAGGAGAGGAAACAGGCCGAAGAACUCAUGAAGUACAUCAACGCCGUUGAGGCUAAAAGGAAGGCUGAUGACACUUCACAUAUUCAAGAAGAAGAAGAUGAGACAGACCUCUAUCUUACACUUGACAACAGCGACUCUGAUUCUAGCGGAGAAGAUGUAGAUGAAGAGAGUGUGCCUGAAAAUGUUGUUAAUACGUCAAGUGACAGUGCCUCCAAUUUCAAACAUUUCAACAUAGAAGAAGACGAUUACGGUGAAUCUCGUGCUGGAUAUAAUGCACAUGCGCGUUUAGUUUCACCACAAGAAAGUUUCUUUGAGACUUCAAAAGGGGGAUAUUCAGACGGCACUGAUUGUACGAGGCAAAUAGAGAAUUUAUUUUUAUGAUUUUAUCAUUUCAACAGUUUACAUGAAUUGUAUAUAUUUGCUCUAUUAAAUGGACUCGAUCUCAAGAGUAAGGUUUCACUUCGAACCUGCUGAACGUCGACAUAGGAGGGGAACUUCAUUCCUGAGUGUGUUUCUAGUUUUUUAAUAUACAUCUACAAUUUUGUUGAAUAUGUAAAUGUUCGUUUGAAUGAUCAAAAACUAUUUGUACAUUGCUUGUGAAUAAUAGUGCUAAUGUGAAUGAUAGUGCUUAAUUAUGUGAUUCAUAGAGCAAGCUUUAAUGUCUCAAUAAUGUAAUGAAAGUUCCCAUAAUUGGGUUUUGGAAUGAUUGGAUUUGCCACGGACAAGGGUUCAUUUCAAUUUUAGUUUAUUUUUAUUUUAUUUUUUCUAUUUGCUUAUGUACCGUUUGUAUCGUUAGUAUAUGGCGAUAUAAAAGUAAAGGGAAACGUAUGCAUCUGUUUUUGUAUAGAUGUUACGCAUUGAUUUUUAAUAAAAAUCACUUUAGUGAAACUAAAAAAUUGAUUUUCAAGCAAUCUCUCUG
Molecule: unclassified non-coding RNA, 4100 nt
Filed under: Owenia fusiformis
Lineage: Eukaryota; Metazoa; Annelida; Polychaeta; Sabellida; Oweniidae
Description: non-specific serine/threonine protein kinase
Source: RNAcentral